GGGUUGUGAGGUUAAGCGACUAAGCGUACACGGUGGAUGCCCUGGCAGUCAGAGGCGAUGAAGGACGUGCUAAUCUGCGAUAAGCGUCGGUGAGGUGAUAUGAACCGUUAUAACCGGCGAUUUCCGAAUGGGGAAACCCAGUGUGUUUCGACACACUAUCAUUAACUGAAUCCAUAGGUUAAUGAGGCGAACCGGGGGAACUGAAACAUCUAAGUACCCCGAGGAAAAGAAAUCAACCGAGAUUCCCCCAGUAGCGGCGAGCGAACGGGGAGGAGCCCAGAGCCUGAAUCAGUGUGUGUGUUAGUGGAAGCGUCUGGAAAGGCGCGCGAUACAGGGUGACAGCCCCGUACACAAAAAUGCACAUACUGUGAGCUCGAUGAGUAGGGCGGGACACGUGGUAUCCUGUCUGAAUAUGGGGGGACCAUCCUCCAAGGCUAAAUACUCCUGACUGACCGAUAGUGAACCAGUACCGUGAGGGAAAGGCGAAAAGAACCCCGGCGAGGGGAGUGAAAAAGAACCUGAAACCGUGUACGUACAAGCAGUGGGAGCCUCUU
RNAcentral lists this ribosomal RNA (554 nucleotides) under Escherichia coli. RNAcentral describes it as "partial 23S ribosomal RNA". It matches the Rfam family "Bacterial large subunit ribosomal RNA", at positions 1 to 585 of the family's 2925-position model. The record is from RNAcentral. Lineage: Bacteria; Pseudomonadati; Pseudomonadota; Gammaproteobacteria; Enterobacterales; Enterobacteriaceae.